CAAGUUUUCCUUGGCUUCAUAUGGAUGAAAGCUCUCACGAAUCACUUAAUAAAAUGUGUUUAGAAAUUCUUAGUAUACUUGAUGAUUCAUCAAAUACCUCCUUGAAAGUGGCAGCAGUUUCAGCGUUGGAAGUUCUUGCAGAAAGGUUCCCUUCGAAUAGUUCCAUCUUCGGUGUAUGCCUUGGGUCUAUUACAAGAUGCAUUAUAUCUCAUAACAUGGCUGUGACUUCUAGCUGCCUUCGAACAUCUGCUGCACUGAUCAACGUUCUUGGUCCAAAAGCACUGACUGAACUUCCUCAAAUUAUGGACAACGUGAUGAAAUCCUCUCGUAUUGUAAUAUCUAAUCAGGAUUUGAAACCAAAAGCUAACGAGGUUUUAUCAGCCUCAAAUGAACCCCAUUUUAUUUCCGUGCUCAUUACUUUGGAGGCGGUUGUUGACAAGCUUGGUGGAUUCCUAAAUCCAUAUCUCACAAAUAUCAUGGAGCUUCUGGUGCUUCAUCCCGAAUAUGUCUCAGGAGUCGAUUCCAAAGUGGAAACCCGAGCUCAUGGAUUACGAAAGCUUCUUGCGGAAAAAAUUCCAGUAAGGCUUGCUAAACAUAAGCAUUGUUUGACUAUGGUAGUGCCAGAUGAGUACAUGUUUUUCUAACUAAACAUCAUUUUGUUACAGGUACGACUUGCCUUGCCGCCACUGUUAAAACUGUACCCUGCUGCUGUUGAGGCUGGGGAUAAAAGCUUAACAAUUGUGUUUGAUAUGUUGGCAACAUUUAUUGGUAUUAUGGACAGAUCAUCAAUUGUGGCAUUCCAUGGAAAGAUUUUUGACUUUUGCUUGGUUGCUCUUGAUCUUCGCCGUCAAAGUCCUCUUUCAGUUCAAAACGUUGAUUUAGUGGAAAAAGGUGUGCUGAAUUCUAUGCUUGCGCUGACCCUAAAACUAACUGAGAGCAUGUUCAAGCCUCUUUUCGUAAAGAGUAUUGAGUGGGCAGAAUCUGUAGUGGAUGAAACUGCAUCCGGAGGAAGCAUGGAUAGGGCCAUAUCUUUCUUUGGCAUGGUAAAUAAGCUUGCUGAGAACCAUAGGUAAGUCAUUGCCUAAUGUUUUUACUUUUUAUAUUCCUUCAUAGAUAAUCCUCUUAAAAAUAAACAUGUUUUUUGGGAGAAGAGUUAAUAAAGUAGCGUAUUGAGUUGAACUUCAUAAUUAUAUCAAUUUUGGUCAAGAUGCAAUAUGAAAUAGAUGCAAUUUGUUUAUAAUAUUAUAUUUAAAAUUUUGACUUAUGGGUAUAUAAUAAAUUAUGAUUGUUUUUUCUUAUAUAAUUAACAAUUGACAUCCUUUUCAUAUUUCUAGGUCUUUGUUUGUUCCUUACUUCAAAUACUUGAUCGGUAGCUGUGUUCAUCAUCUUGGUGAUGGUGAAGACUUUAAUGUGUCUAGUCUGAGGAAGAAAAAGAAGGCUAAGAUUUUGGAUGACGGCGAUGUAAAAGAAACAGGUAGCUUGUCUAUUAAGGGAUGGCAUCUCAGGACACUAGUCUUGUCAUCCUUACACAAGUGUUUUCUCUAUGACACUGGGAGCUUGAAGUUUCUCGAGUCCUCAAAUUUCCAGGCUAGUAUUUUUUUAAACUUUUCACAAUAUGAAAUUGUUAUGAAAAAGUUUAUGAUGUUUUUUUUUCCAUCUUAUUGUUUGAAUGGCACAUUCUGUAAUAAGUUUGGGAAAUUUUCCAUUGAGCCUCCUUCACUGACUUUCAUAUGAUGCUUGUUGCAGUUGUUGUUGAAACCUAUUGUUUCUCAACUUGUCAUAGAUCCACCUGCUUUGCCAGAUGACAACAUGAAUGUACCUAGCGUGAAGGAAUUUGAUGACCUACUUGUUGUGUGCAUCGGUCAAAUGGCGGUCACAGCUGGCUCUGACCUUUUGUGGAAGCCUCUGAACCACGAGGUAUAUUUUGUGAUUUUCUAUUUCUCUCAUGCAAUUUUAUAGACCACCUAUUCUGCUAUUUUGAGUAAAACUAAAGUAACCGUGUCAAAUUUUCCUCAUCUUGCAGCUGACUAUUUUGUUGUCGUAAUUUGGUUGUUUUGUAGGUUUUGAUGCAGACACGCAGUGAGAAGAUGCGAACUAGAAUAUUGGGCCUGAGAAUUGUUAAAUAUUUUGUAGAUAACUUGAAAGAAGAAUAUUUAGUGUUAUUAGCGGAAACAAUCCCCUUCCUCGGCGAACUGCUUGAAGAUGUGGAGCUUUCAGUUAAAUCCCUUGCUCAGGAAAUUUUGACGGAAAUGGAGUCUAUGAGUGGGGAGAGCCUUCGACAAUACCUAUGAUGAAGUUAAGAUUAGGAGGGUAAUAUUUUCACGGUAUCUUGAUAUGUUUGAGCUAGAAAUGUGUAAUCAGUCAAAUAUAGGAAAUUUGUUUUGUAGACAUGUAAAUUAUGGCCAUUUAAAGAAAAGCUGGCAUUUUUCAUAUUGAUAAAAGUUAAAAUUCAAUUAUUUUAUUGUGUAUUUUCAAGCUGUAUUUUUUCUUUCACAAGUGCCAAUCAUUAAAAAGAUGAAUCCUUUAUUAUCAAAAAAAGAUGAAUCCUUUUAAAAAGUAUUAUUCAAAACAAUAAAUAAGAUGAAAUGUUAAAUAAAACAAAAAGAAUCCCAUAUUCCUUACUUUUUACCACUAAAUGUGGAAUAAUAAGAUGAUAUGAAUCCUAUCAUUUCCGUAUUAACUCGUUCUCAUUCCUAGCUCUCUAUUUUUCUCUUAAUUCUACUUUCUCUCUUCAUUGAAAAUUUAAAAGAUAACCAAGAGAUAGAGUGAGAUUAAGAGAGAUAGAAAGUUAAGAGAGGGAAGGAGAAAAAAGAGAAGGAUAUGAUCCACUGUAUAAACAUGGUCUUAUAUCUUUUAGCCGUUUUUUUAUAAAUAUUUUCCGUAUACCUCGGGCUGUGCACGCAAUCUGAUCAACUUGCAAUGACAGGUAAUUAGGUACCAUAUUUUAAAAAAAUGUGUUUCAAAAAAAUCUCAUUUUGGCUUAUUCAAAAAAAUCUUCCACCCCUCGCCCCCUUUCUCUCUCCCUCUCGAUCUCUUUUACACCCCUCUACAACUUAAUUAAUUAAGCACUUAUAGCAUGAACUCUUAUUAUAUAAGUGCUUAUGUAUAAGUUAUUUCUAUAACAAAAGAUUUAAUAAAGUUAAACUGUUUUUAUAUAAGCUAUAAGUUGUUUUCAUAAGCAAUUAUGGAGAGCUUAUAGAUUUAAGCUGAAAACAGUUCAUGGAGAUGUUAUAAGUUGUUUCUAUAAGCUCUCUCACAGGUGUUUAUACAUACAGGACGGAAUGUCUUUCAUGUGAUGUCAAAAUUGAUCCUAUCCAUUUUUUGUUGAGAUUUUUGCUUUUAUAUUUGCAGUGGAUAUGGAAUAUCUGCGCAUGCAUUAACUGCGGCAAUAAGAGCGCACGAUGGUCACGGUCCAAGUACACUGCUGACAAGUAGUAUUUUACAAGCACUUGGGCGAAGUAAAUAACUAGAAUUUUGAAAUCCUACAAUUUAAUGCCGUUUUGAGCAAGGAUAUAGUGUCUCAGUCAUUUGUUUUGAGCAAGGAUAUAGUGUCUCAGUCAUUUGUUUUGAGCAAGGAUAUAGUGUCUCAGUCAUUUGUUGGUGCAUCUUGGGCUCGCAUUGCAGCUCUCGUUCCAGUUGUAGUAUCCUGUGCAGAGGCCGGGGAUGAGGUUGCAUACAAGAUCUUGCUAGAAUCGGCGCAAGAACUGGCUUCAAGUGUUAAAGCUGUUGUAGGCAGACUUGGAUUGUGCGGUCAAGGUUAUAUAUACGUUUUUUAAUCGAAUAUAUUUUAACACAUACAUCACUAAGUCUUUGUGCCUGUAUGAUCAAAUUCGAAGUGAUUGACUUGCCCUCUAGACACUCUUUUAAAAUAUAAAACAAAACAAUGGUUUUUCUUUUUUUUUUGUGAAUAUUUAUGCAACCUAAAAGAUGGUGUUUCAUGUAUAUCUAAGACUGGUAUUCUGUAAUUUUGGCAGAUGGAAAGGAUGCUUUUCCGCUUGUCCUGGUUAGUGGUGUUCUUGAAGCAAAUACAAGGUGGGAUGUAGGGAAAGAAGCAAUAAAAUGCAUUUCCAAAUAUUUUCCUGGGAUGCUUCCCAUUAGAUUAGACCUAAGGUCAGCAUAUAUUUUCAUCUAUUUUAUCUGUCAGCCUUUUAUCUUCAUUGCAUGCUUUUUUAGGAUCCUGCUAACGAGUGUCGAAUGAUCUAAUCAGUAAUAUAAUAAUUCUUUCUGCAAAGCAUGAGCAAUCUUUUCAAAGAAACGCUUUAUGGCUUUAAAUAUCAAGAGUAAACCAUCAAAAUAAUCUAUGACUUUGCAGGACGCGGUAAAUUAGUCCCUAUUGAUCAAUUUGUCACACCUCUGCAAAGUUGUGGACCAUUUUAGUAAUUUACUCUAUCUAGAAUCUUAGCAUAGAAUCAAAAUCAAAUUUUUACUUUGGUUUAUUGCAAACAAGUGGAACCUGCUGUCAGGGCAGCAUGGUUAGCUUGGAAUUUUUUCAUGAAAGAAUAUAACAAGGAAUUAUGCAGCCGCUGACGAUUGAUGGAUUGGUGUAAGAGAGAACAAAAUUGAAAAAAAGAAAGAAAAAGGAAGUGACAUGACAACUCAAAAUCUUUCCUGUAAACUUAAAUUGACAUGCCAUAUAGUUUUUAUGUACAUCCAAAAUUUUAUUUUUUAUUAGCAAAGGGCACAUUGGUAGGAUUUAGUUCUUCCCUGUCCUUGCUAAGUGAGGCACAGUUUCUCCAAUUAUCUUUUGAUCAUACCUUAAAACCUUUGUGUAAAUUACUAGAGGUGUAAUCAUAAGAAAGAGUUGUCUUUAUAGGAAUUUAUAUUUACAUAGUAUAUCUUAUGAUUCCAUUAGGGUCAAGUGUGGCUUUAUCUGAAUUUUGUUAUUUUUAUAUAUCUGCUGUCUAAGAUUCACCUACUUGGUAAUAUCACAUUAUUGCAAAGUCUUGUACAAAGUAAGGACGUACUGUUGCAAUAUAAGGGAUACCAGAGGAAUUUUAAAAAUUGGUUUAGCAAUAUUUAAUCACAAUUACAUAUAAUCAUAAUUACAUAUAAUCACAAAUAUAGUUGAUUGCAAAUUGUUAACGGUGUAAAACAUUUUACACUAACAGCGUAUUGAAAUUAAACUUCCCCUACUUUCUCUAAUAAUACUCAUUCAUAAUCUUAUUUUCUCAUGAUCACACUUCAACUGUAAUAUUCACAUAUUUGCAACACUGAUCUUAUUUUCUUUUAAAAAUGUUUCAUCUUCACCAAAUUUUCCUACACCUAUUAAUCAUGGAUCCGUUUAGUAUGGACAAAAACAUGUUUUGGUCCAUAAUGGAGGAUAUUGGUUUGGGGUUAUUCACUUAGGGGGGUGUAUUGGAUUAGGAUUUUGAUGGACAAUUUUAACAAAAAAAAUCUUGAAGAUUUUAAAAGAUUUUAUAGGAUUGUAUAGACUUUUAAGACUUUUUAAAAUACUUUUUUACAANNNNNNNNNNNNNNNNNNUUUAAUGGAUUUUAUAAUACAGAUUUUUAAGAUUUCAACUGACUUUAUGAAUUUUUAAUAUUGAAAAAAACUUUCCAUUCUUGGUGAAAAAGAAAAAGAAGUGAAUGAAAAAAAAAAAAUUAGGGGGUGUAUUGGAUUUGGAUUUUGAUGGACAAUUUUAACAAAAAAAAUCUUGAAGAUUUUAAAAGAUUUUAUAGGAUUGUAUAGACUUUUAAGACUUUUUAAAAUACUUUUUUACAAUCAGGAUUUUCCAAUUUGGAUUUUAAAAGACUUUAAUAGAUUUUAUAAUACAGAUUUUUAAGAUUUCAACUGACUUUAUGAAUUUUUAAUAUUGAAAAAAACUUUCCAUUCUUGGUGAAAAAGAAAAAGAAGUGAAUGAAAAAAAAAAAAUUAAGGUUGCCACACCAAUGACUAAACCAGUUCAAUGAUAAUUAACGUGAAAAAAAAACAAGUACAUCCCUUCCUUUGAUUUGGAGAUACAGGGAAAAAAAAAUUAUGAAUGGAUCAUAGAUUCAUAAUAUAUAAGAAAGAAAGAAAGAAAGAAAAACAACAAUNNNNNNNNNNNNNNNNNNNNNNNNNNNNNNNNNNNNNNNNNNNNNNNNNCAAAAUCCAUUGCAAAGAAGAAUCCAUCAAAAUCCAUAGACUUUUGAAUACCAAUAGACAUUUUAAAAGUGGUAAGAAAUCUCAAUUGAAUACCAACAGAUUUUGUUGCCUUGAAAAAAAAAAUCUUAAUUAUCUUAAUUGAAUACCACAAGAUUUAUUUAACUUUUCUAAAAGUCUUGAUUGAAUACCACAAGAUUUUUUUAUCAUAAAAAAGUCUUUUAAAAUCCUAUGAAAUCCUAAUCCAAUACACCCCCUUAGACAUAUAUUGUAUAUUCAUUUAAUGAUUUGUAAUAACGAUGUACUCAUUACGCACAUAUUUUACACAGGCUAUUGAUUCUACUACAUCUAGCAAAAGCUCUUUUUUUGUUGGUUUGUAAUAAAUACAUGUCUUGGUAAACAAACUAAGCGUGUGGAAGCGAGACAUUGAUAACUGUUAUCUGAUACUGCAUCACUUUUGCUCCAGGCUCUUGGGAUGUUAUGUGAUGCUGCAAGAAAUCUUGAAAAAGUCAGCUUAAUUAAUGCUUAAAGACAAGAAAGCUUCAAGGUCAAGAUCAAGUUUUGCUUGGCUUCAUAUGGAUGAAAGCUCUCACGAAUCACUUAAUAAAAUGUGUUUAGAAAUUCUUAGUAUACUUGAUGAUUCAUCAAAUACCUCCUUGAAAGUGGCAGCAGUUUCAGCGUUGGAAGUUCUUGCAGAAAGGUUCCCUUCGAAUAGUUCCAUCUUCGGUGUAUGCCUUGGAUCUAUUACAAGAUGCAUUACAUCUCAUAACAUGGCUGUGACUUCUACUUUUACUUUCAUUUCCUAAAUAAACACUUGUCAGUCUUCGACAAUCCCUGUGAAGAUGAAUCUUUAUAAAUUUUAUUACUCGAAGAUAAACUAAUGCACUUGAUAGGGGUCAUGCUCGUUCUCCGAAAAUGGUUUUACCUGUUUCUUCAUGUGAGACUUAAUGUCCUGACUUGAGCACUACUUCAACAUCAACAACACUUUAUAGGUUUACAC
This 7082-nucleotide long non-coding RNA is filed under the name Trifolium pratense (red clover). RNAcentral's name for it is "long non-coding RNA (TPRA_LNC001786)". Lineage: Eukaryota; Viridiplantae; Streptophyta; Magnoliopsida; Fabales; Fabaceae. The record is from RNAcentral.